RNAcentral lists this ribosomal RNA (377 nucleotides) under Ameletus montanus. RNAcentral's name for it is "partial 16S rRNA". The record is from RNAcentral. Lineage: Eukaryota; Metazoa; Arthropoda; Insecta; Ephemeroptera; Ameletidae.
GGUAACUUAUUCUUAUAAUCACUACUAGCGGAUCAUUUACUCAUGAAUUUAUGUGAGUUAUUAAGAAGAGGUUUUUGUAUCUUCUCGUCACCCCAACGAAAUAUUUGCACCUUUAAUACAAACCCCCUUAAAAAGAAUAAAAGUAUAUAAUAUAAAGAUCUAUAGGGUCUUCUCGUCCUCCAAUCUCAUUUUAGCCUUUUGACUAAAAAGUUAAAUUCAACGUUGAUUUUAAUGAGACAGCUAACACCUCGUCCAACCAUUCAUUCCAGCCUUUAAUUAAAAGACUAAUGAUUAUGCUACCUUUGCACGGUCAAAAUACCGCGGCCCUUUAAAUUCUUCAGUGGGCAGGUUAUACUUUUCAUAUACCCUUAAAAGCG